AUGAACGCUAGCGGCAGGGCUUAACACAUGCAAGUCGAGAGGCAGCAUGUCCAGCAAUGGAUGAUGGCGACCGGCGGAAGGGUGCGUAACGCGUGAGCAACAUGCCCUAUACAGGGAGAUACACCAGGGAAACUUGGUCUAAUAUCCCAUAGCAUUCAUUGAAGGCAUCUUUAAUGAAUUAAAGCUUCGGUGGUAUAGGAUUGGCUCGCGUGACAUUAGCCAGAUGGUGAGGUAACGGCUCACCAUAGCAAUGAUGUCUAGGGGUUUUGAGAGGAAGGCCCCCCACACUGGGACUGAGACACGGCCCAGACUCCUACGGGAGGCAGCAGUGAGGAAUAUUGGACAAUGGAUGGAAAUCUGAUCCAGCCAUGCCGCGUGCAGGAAGACGGCCUUAUGGGUUGUAAACUGCUUUUAUACGGGAGCAAUAAGGGUUACGAGUAAUCCGAUGAGAGUACUGUAUGAAUAAGGAUCGGCUAACUCCGUGCCAGCAGCCGCGGUAAUACGGAGGAUCCGAGCGUUAUCCGGAAUUAUUGGGUUUAAAGGGUGCGUAGGCGGCCAUUUAAGUCAGCGGUGAAAUUUUGCAGCUUAACUGUAACAGUGCCGUUGAUACUGUUUGGCUAGGAUUUGGUUGUAGUGUGCGGAAUGUGUGGUGUAGCGGUGAAAUGCUUAGAUAUCACACAGAACACCGAUUGCGAAGGCAGCACACUAAGUCAUUAUUGACGCUGAGGCACGAAAGUGUGGGGAUCAAACAGGAUUAGAUACCCUGGUAGUCCACACUGUAAACGAUGAUAACUCGCUGUCGGCGAUACACAGUCGGUGGCCCAAGCGAAAGCCAU
RNAcentral lists this ribosomal RNA (836 nucleotides) under uncultured bacterium. Its description in RNAcentral is "bacterial SSU rRNA". It matches the Rfam family "Bacterial small subunit ribosomal RNA", at positions 29 to 861 of the family's 1533-position model. The record is from RNAcentral.